CCUACGGGCGGCUGCAGUAGGGAAUUUUCGGCAAUGGGGGAAACCCUGACCGAGCGACGCCGCGUGAACGAAGAAGGUCUUCGGAUCGUAAAGUUCUGUUACAAGGGAAGAACGACAGUAAGAGUGGAAAGCUUACUGUGUGACGGUACCUUGUGAGAAAGCCACGGCUAACUACGUGCCAGCAGCCGCGGUAAUACGUAGGUGGCGAGCGUUAUCCGGAAUUAUUGGGCGUAAAGAGUGAGCAGGCGGCAGUCAAAGUCUGGAGUUAAAACGUGUGGCUCAACCAUACGUUGCUUUGGAAACUAGACAGCUAGAGUGCAGGAGAGGUUAGCGGAAUUCCAUGUGUAGCGGUAAAAUGCGUAGAUAUAUGGAGGAACACCAGUGGCGAAGGCGGCUAACUGGCCUGUAACUGACGCUCAGUCACGAAAGCGUGGGGAGCAAAUAGGAUUAGAUACCCCAGUAGUC
RNAcentral lists this ribosomal RNA (465 nucleotides) under uncultured Bacillota bacterium. RNAcentral describes it as "bacterial SSU rRNA". It matches the Rfam family "Bacterial small subunit ribosomal RNA", at positions 338 to 795 of the family's 1533-position model. The record is from RNAcentral. Lineage: Bacteria; Bacillati; Bacillota.